RNAcentral lists this ribosomal RNA (253 nucleotides) under uncultured bacterium. RNAcentral's name for it is "partial 16S ribosomal RNA". It matches the Rfam family "Bacterial small subunit ribosomal RNA", at positions 524 to 776 of the family's 1533-position model. The record is from RNAcentral.
UACAUGGGGUGCAAACGUUGCUCGGAAUUAUUGGGCGUAAAGCGCGCGUAGGCGGUUACUUAAGUCGGAUGUGAAAGCCCUCGGCUUAACUGAGGAAGUGCACCCGAAACUGAGUAGCUAGAGUACGAAAGAGGGUCGCGGAAUUCCCGGUGUAGAGGUGAAAUGCGUAGAUAUCAGGAGGAACACCGGUGGUGUAGACGGCUUUCUGGACCGUAACUGACGCUGAGACACGAAAGCGUGGGUAGCAAACAGG